AAUUGAAAAUUUGUUUAAUCUUUAGCAGGGAAACGAUUCCAGUAAUAAUGACACAGAAUAAUUUGUGUAAUAGUAAAUGAGAGUAGACUGUAGAGUGAGCAAAGCAAAGCGAAGUCUCUCCUCCUACGCAAUAUUCCGGCAGCAAUGGCUCCGGUUGCUUCGAAGCUUUACACAGACGAUGUGAGUUUGGUGGUACUAUUACUCGACACUAAUCCUUAUUUCUGGACUUCUUCUUCACCUUCAUCUUCUCUCUCCUUCUCCCAUUUUCUCUCUCACGUUCUCUCAUUCGUCAAUUCAAUUUUGCUUCUCAAUCAGCUCAAUCAAGUGGUCAUCAUUGCAACUGGUCAUAAUACAUGUGGUUACAUUUUCGAUUCGUCGUUAUCUUCGGUUUCUUCAUCGAUUUCUUCCAAUCAGAGCUCCGAUAAUGCUACAAUGCCGAGUUUUUGUUCUGAUGUGAUGAAGAAUUUGGAGGAAUUUGUCACUAAAGAUGAGAGUUUGAGCUCCGUUGAUGUUGUUCAUGGCGUCGAUUCCUCCCUUUUAUCGGGUUCCCUGUCCAUGGCUCUUUGUUAUAUUCAGCGUGUUUUUCGAUCAGGGCCGCUUCAUCCUCAGCCAAGAAUAUUAUGCCUGCAUGGAUCCCCUGAUGGACCUGAGCAAUAUGUUGCUGUGAUGAAUGCCAUCUUCUCAGCUCAGCGCUCUAUGGUACCAAUUGAUUCUUGUGUUAUCGGAGGACAACAUUCUGCCUUCUUGCAGCAGGCAUCUUAUAUUACUGGUGGUGUCUAUUUGAAACCACAGCAACUAGAAGGGCUAUUUCAAUAUCUUUCUACUGUAUUUGCUACUGAUUUGCACUCCAGGAACUUCAUACAGCUGCCAAAACCUGUAGGCGUUGAUUUCCGUGCUUCGUGCUUUUGUCACAAAAACACGAUAGAUAUGGGUUACAUAUGUUCGGUCUGCUUGUCGAUAUUUUGUAUGCACCACAAGAAAUGUUCAACAUGUGGGUCACUUUAUGGUCGAGCCCAGUCAGAUGCAUCAUCAACAUCAGGUCAGAAGAGAAAAGAGCCAUCAUGAUAAAUGUUUCCCUGCUUUGCUCAACUUGGUAUCCAGCUCAAGUGAAGGUAUUGGCACAAGCACAACUAGUAUGGGGUUAUUUUCACUUGUGGCAACAUGCUUCUGUGGCUCUAGGACCUUGUUUGCGGAGGACCAAAACCUCUGGUCAUACACACUUGAACUGCCAAUCUGCUCCUUCCACUCAUAAAAGCAAUCGCAAUCAAAGGAUAGCAGGACCACUAGACAGUUUUUACCGUUUCUUCUGGUUAGGCCUAAUUUGUUAGCAUUGUGUUUUUUCCCUACAAUUCAUGGACAAAAAAAGUCGUUUUCCUUAA
Molecule: RNA transcript, 1379 nt
Organism: Beta vulgaris subsp. vulgaris (sugar beet)
Lineage: Eukaryota; Viridiplantae; Streptophyta; Magnoliopsida; Caryophyllales; Amaranthaceae
Gene name: general transcription and DNA repair factor IIH subunit TFB4
Exons: 12
Source: RefSeq, a predicted model, not a curated record